CCUACGGGUGGCAGCAGUGAGGAAUAUUGGUCAAUGGCCGGAAGGCUGAACCAGCCAAGCCGCGUGAAGGACGAAGGUGCCAAGCAUUGUAAACUUCUUUUGUCAAGGGACAAAAUCAGGCACGAGAGCCUGACCGAGGGUACUUGAAGAAAAAGCAUCGGCUAACUCCGUUCCAGCCGCCCCGGUAAGACGGGGGAUGCGAGCGUUAUCCGGAUUUAUUGGGUUUAAGGGGUACGUAGGCGGACUUUUAAGUCAGCGGUAAAAGCCCGGGGUUCAACCCCGGCGAGCCGUUGAAACUGGCUGUCUUGAGAGGGCGAGAGGUAAGCGGAAUGCGCAGUGUAGCGGUGAAAUGCUUAGAUAUUGCGCAGAACUCCGAUUGCGAAGGCAGCAUACCGGCGGCGAUCUGACGCUGAGGCACGAAAGCGUGGGUAUCGAACAGGAUUAGAUACCCUGGUAGUC
RNAcentral lists this ribosomal RNA (459 nucleotides) under uncultured bacterium. Its description in RNAcentral is "partial 16S ribosomal RNA". It matches the Rfam family "Bacterial small subunit ribosomal RNA", at positions 338 to 795 of the family's 1533-position model. The record is from RNAcentral.